GAUGAAGAACGUAGCGAAAUGCGAUAAGUAAUGUGAAUUGCAGAAUUCAGUGAAUCAUCGAAUCUUUGAACGCACCUUGCGCCCUUUGGCCAUUCCGAAGUGCAUGCCUGUUUGAGUAUCAUGAACACCUCAACUCUCAUGGCUCGCCAUGAUGAGCUUGGAUUUGGGGGUCUUGCUGGCCUGUGGUCGGCUCCUCUCAAAUGGAUCAGCUUGCCAGUGUUUGGUGGCAUCACAGGUGUGAUAACUAUCUGCGCUUGUGGUUUUCCAUCAGAUAACCUUCAGUGAUGGAGGUUCGCUGGAGCUCAUAAACGUCUCCCCUAAGCGGGGACAGCCCUUUGAAUGUUUGAUCUCAAAUCAGGUAGGACUACCCGCUGAACUUAAGCAUAUCAAUAAGCGGAGGA
This 401-nucleotide unclassified non-coding RNA is filed under the name soil metagenome. Its description in RNAcentral is "partial contains 5.8S ribosomal RNA, internal transcribed spacer 2, and large subunit ribosomal RNA". The stretch from base 1 to 121 matches the Rfam family "5.8S ribosomal RNA", at positions 35 to 154 of the family's 154-position model. The record is from RNAcentral.